ACAGUAGUUCAGAACAUUAAGAUGAGUUUUUUUCUUCUUCUU
Molecule: small RNA, 42 nt
Filed under: Arabidopsis thaliana (thale cress)
Lineage: Eukaryota; Viridiplantae; Streptophyta; Magnoliopsida; Brassicales; Brassicaceae
Description: ATSL009850
Source: RNAcentral